This 923-nucleotide ribosomal RNA is filed under the name uncultured Bacteroidota bacterium. Its description in RNAcentral is "bacterial SSU rRNA". It matches the Rfam family "Bacterial small subunit ribosomal RNA", at positions 1 to 916 of the family's 1533-position model. The record is from RNAcentral. Lineage: Bacteria; Pseudomonadati; Bacteroidota.
GGAUCCAGACUUUGAUUCUGCGCUCAGGAUGAACGCUAGCUACAGGCUUAACACAUGCAAGUCGAGGGGCAGCGGGAUUGAAGCUUGCUUCAAUUGCCGGCGACCGGCGCACGGGUGAGUAACGCGUAUCCAACCUUCCGUACACUCAGGGAUAGCCUUUCGAAAGAAAGAUUAAUACCUGAUGGUAUCUUAAGCACACAUGUAAUUAAGAUUAAAGAUUUAUCGGUGUACGAUGGGGAUGCGUUCCAUUAGGUAGUAGGCGGGGUAACGGCCCACCUAGCCAACGAUGGAUAGGGGUUCUGAGAGGAAGGUCCCCCACAUUGGAACUGAGACACGGUCCAAACUCCUACGGGAGGCAGCAGUGAGGAAUAUUGGUCAAUGGACGAGAGUCUGAACCAGCCAAGUAGCGUGAAGGAUGAAGGUCCUACGGAUUGUAAACUUCUUUUAUAAGGGAAUAAACCCUCCCACGUGUGGGAGCUUGUAUGUACCUUAUGAAUAAGCAUCGGCUAACUCCGUGCCAGCAGCCGCGGUAAUACGGAGGGUGCGAGCGUUAUCCGGAUUUAUUGGGUUUAAAGGGAGCGCAGACGGGUCGUUAAGUCAGCUGUGAAAGUUUGGGGCUCAACCUUAAAAUUGCAGUUGAUACUGGCGUCCUUGAGUGCGGUUGAGGUGUGCGGAAUUCGUGGUGUAGCGGUGAAAUGCUUAGAUAUCACGAAGAACUCCGAUUGCGAAGGCAGCACACUAAUCCGUAACUGACGUUCAUGCUCGAAAGUGUGGGUAUCAAACAGGAUUAGAUACCCUGGUAGUCCACACGGUAAACGAUGGAUACUCGCUGUUGGCGAUAUACUGUCAGCGGCUUAGCGAAAGCGUUAAGUAUCCCACCUGGGGAGUACGCCGGCAACGGUGCAACUCAAAUGAAUUGACGG